CCAGGAUGGAGUGCAGUGGCGUGAUCUCGGCUCAACCUCCGCGUCCCAGGCUCAGCGACAGGGUCUCGCCACGCUGCCCAGACUGGUCUCAAUUCCUGGGCUUAAGUGAUCUGUCUGCCUUGGCCUCCCACCAUGCUGAGAUGACAGGAGUGAGCCACUGCACCCUGCCCAGGCUGUUUUCAGUUCACCGUGUUCUGCUGCCUUCCAGGUGGGGCGGGCUGGGAGGCCUCUUCUAGAGGGGCCCUCAGGCUGCUCCAAGCCCUGGAAUGCAGGCCUGGUGGCCUCAGAAUGCCCCAGCAGGCUGGCCCCGUGCCUCUGCCCCGGGGUGUGGGGUCUGGGUGGCCUGGGGUCCUCCCCUUGGGAGCUCCAUGGGUGGCCGCUGCUCCGCCUACCUGGGAGGACAUCCCGUGGCAGGGGUAGAGGAUCGCCCGGUCGCCGUCCUCUGCUCCCUGGUCCAGGCAGUAGCCACUGGCUUUGCUGUUUCUCACCUGCAACCAGAAGCCCCAGGAGAAAGUCCAGAGUCACCCGAGGGUGCGGCCCCAGGGAACUUUGCGCAGCCAGCUCUGCAGCCAGCACCUAAAGAGAUGGAGACUUGGCCAUCACUCAAUAGGGGACGCUUGAGGACGGCAGUGUCAGCCCUGCUCAGCAGCAGGGACGGAGGCCCUAGGCUGUGGAGUGGCUUCCCUGCCUUGCCACCUGCUCCCUGCAUCCUUGCAGCUCCCACUGAGUGGGUAGAGACCGCUCACCAGCCUUGCAGUCUAGGCUGGCCUUGGCUUGGACCCUUGGGAGACCUUCCAGCUUCCACUCUGUCUUGGAAGGAAUCCUGACAGCCCUCUGAGAAUAAGCCCGGGCCAGCCUGCUGGGGGAUGGGUUGUCAUCGGGCAGCCAACCUCCAGCCGCCAGAACAGGCCCAUCGGAGAUCAGCACAGCCUGGAUCAGGCCAGCAGCACUGCCUGGGUGGCCCUGGCUCGUGAGCAAGUGUAGACACUUAUUGCUUUUGUCCACCGCGUUUCCAGGCUGCUGGGUUUGCAGCAGCAGCUGACCCAUCCAGCACGGCCACCACGAGAGGUCACACAG
Molecule: long non-coding RNA, 1077 nt
Organism: Pongo pygmaeus (Bornean orangutan)
Lineage: Eukaryota; Metazoa; Chordata; Mammalia; Primates; Hominidae
Exons: 3
Source: RefSeq, a predicted model, not a curated record